Molecule: long non-coding RNA, 208 nt
Filed under: Vulpes vulpes (red fox)
Lineage: Eukaryota; Metazoa; Chordata; Mammalia; Carnivora; Canidae
Description: lncRNA (ENSVVUG00000030337.1)
Source: RNAcentral
UUUCUCCACCAUGGGGGCUUUUCUCACUCUUCCAACUGGCUCCGGCUCGACCCUGGCUCAUCAGAUGGCAGAGCAUUCAAGAGGCAGCUCGGUCGAGGGCUCACCGGUGAGAGCUCUGGAAUCAGAAAAUGAGAAGCUCUGACAUCACUGGGUUUGGUUCUUGAUUCGGUUCAAGGAAAUAUUCCCCUUUAGUUGGACAGAGCCUGUG